Non-coding RNA from Lingula anatina, 90 nucleotides. The record is from Rfam. NCBI's taxonomy places the organism in Eukaryota, Metazoa, Brachiopoda, Lingulata, Lingulida, Lingulidae.
GCCUCGGUAGCGUAGUAGGCAGCGCGUCAGUCUCAUAAUCAAUGAAGUAGAGUCAUCUGAAGGUCGUGAGUUCGAUCCUCACCCGGGGCA